Molecule: long non-coding RNA, 1322 nt
Organism: Ctenopharyngodon idella (grass carp)
Lineage: Eukaryota; Metazoa; Chordata; Actinopteri; Cypriniformes; Xenocyprididae
Exons: 7
Source: RefSeq, a predicted model, not a curated record
CUCAGCUCGCGCUCGGGUGUCUGGACUACCACUGGACCACAUAAACUCGUCACUGCUCCGACUCCUCUGGAGCUAUAGAAUUACUAGUGUAAUUCUAGCUAUUUCUAUUAAGUAUGCAGAUGAGAACGUUAAAACGUCUUCUGGUCAGGCUAUUUUCUUACUCACAGCUUUCAGUCAGGUGACUGGAGCAGAGACCUGGAGGGCAAAACACCCACAGAACUGCAGGACAGGCCGGACAAUUUUCCAUCUGUUUCAAACAACAAAUAUUAUAUCGCGUCUCAAAAAAUAUGUGAGUAAAAUGCACGUCCAUAUACAGCACCUGCUGCAGUAUUUCAAUCACUAAACAGUAGAGUAUUCACUUUAAGUACCUUAAAGUAAUAAAACAGUGAGAUUAAAAGAUAAAUUUCUUUAUACAGUUUAUCUAUGAUGCAUACUACUGUAUAUACAGGCGAGCAGAUGAGCCCAGAAUAUGAACGCCACACACUAACUGGGCAAGCAGAUGAGCCUAGAACAUAAAUGCAAUGCCUACCGACAAACUCAAACUGUGCGUUGCAUUUAUGUUCUAGGCUCAUCUGCUUGCUCGACCUGUAUAUAUAGUAUGCAUCAUCAAAAAGGUGUAUAUUGAAUUUGGCCUUGUUUUACCCUCCAGGUGGGUGUUCCUAUAAAAACUAGCAAUGAAGGCAAUAUCAACACCAUACAACAGGCCCUGCUCUCCUCACCAAGAACAAUAUUUUCAGCACCCGAGCCAUCACGGGCAUGGAAAGGUCUUGACACCUUGCCAAGAGCUGGAUUUUUUGAGAUGUUGGGGGGACUACAGAGAAACUAUACACACAUUCAUUGAUGCCACAGCAUUUAAGUAAUUUCUCCUUUAAGAUUUCUGCAACACACCAAACAUGGAUGACAAGAGUGAAGGACAAGGUUAUGUCUCAUCAAUUUUAGGUCCCGGUCUAGUCCUGUCAUGUCAAGCUCCGAUCUGCCCUGUUCUCUGCCCAGUUUACCUGUGCCUGCAGUGCAACCCUCUCUGGUCCCAGAUGUCUACAGGUUUCAGACUCAUGCUUCAAGGUUUCUGCACUUGCAUCUCUCCUGGAUUUGUUGAUCAUUCCUGGACUCAUUCUGGUUACCAGUCUUUUCACGCGGCCUUCGACUAUGCUCACCUGUCAACCACUUUUGUUCAAUAAAUGUUCUGAACUGCCUUUGCUGUUUAUGUUUUAUUUAUUAAACAUAUAUAUGCUGUCACAUAUAAUACAUGCUAUUAUAAAUGCAUACCUUUUGAAGAAUAAUUAGAAUAUCAUAUGCAGUUUUAAUAAAGUUGAAUUAUGUAA